This 710-nucleotide long non-coding RNA is filed under the name Gossypium barbadense (sea-island cotton). RNAcentral's name for it is "long non-coding RNA (GBAR_LNC008849)". The record is from RNAcentral. Lineage: Eukaryota; Viridiplantae; Streptophyta; Magnoliopsida; Malvales; Malvaceae.
UUUUGACUCCCCUAAUUCGUCUCCUUGGCCGAUCCCUACAUGCGAACGCCCUUACAUCACUAUAAGUAGUGAUCGGCGACGCGUAGAGGUAAAUCCCAUUGUCACUUCGAUUGCAGCGAAGAAGACGGGCUCCGAUCGCUAAGGUAAAUAUUUCCACUCCCUUCCCUUUGGAUUCAUAUCAAAGCAAAAGAAAAAAGAAUCAAAAUGAAAGAGAAAAAAAAAUGGAAAUCACCUUUUCAAAAUUGCUUUCGAAAUUUUUUUGUAUUCAAUAUCCGUAGAAAAAUUUACACUCAUUCUCUGGCCUUUUAUAGCCGAAAAAGAAAUAAAAUGAAAAUUACAGCCACUAUUUUUCUUCUCUAUUUUCUGCUAUUUUUACUGUUUGUUGUUGGUUAUUUGUUGUGUUCGCUUCUUCUCGCAGGUUCUGCUGAUGUGGAAAUAUAAGGAGGCCUCACGAGGGCCGCACCUGGAGUGUGCGGAGGCUGCGUACGUGGCCAUGACACGCUGGAAGUGCUGCGGCACCAAGGAAACCCUAGGUUUCUAUUUGGCUGAUCCCGAGUCUAAGUUUUGGGCCAUUGGACCUAUUUUAUUUUGGGCUGUAAUUUGCUUGUAAGUGGGCUAGAUAAUUGGGUUUGGUUUAAUUUAGGUUUGGGCUUAUUUGGGUUAUAAGUGAUUUGUAAAUGGACUUUGAUGAUGAACUUUUAUUAGUUUUU